Molecule: ribosomal RNA, 253 nt
Filed under: uncultured bacterium
Lineage: Bacteria
Description: partial 16S ribosomal RNA
Rfam family: Bacterial small subunit ribosomal RNA
Source: RNAcentral
UACGUAGGGGGCAAGCGUUGUCCGGAUUUAUUGGGCGUAAAGAGCGUGUAGGCGGCCUGGUAGGUCAGCUGUGAAAACUCGAGGCUCAACUUCGAGCUGUCGGUGGAAACUUUCUGGCUAGAGUCCGGAAGAGGAGAAUGGAAUUCCUGGUGUAGCGGUGAAAUGCGCAGAUAUCAGGAAGAACACCCGUGGCGAAGGCGGUUCUCUGGGACGGUACUGACGCUGAGACGCGAAAGCGUGGGGAGCGAACAGG